Molecule: ribosomal RNA, 217 nt
Organism: Nicotiana attenuata
Lineage: Eukaryota; Viridiplantae; Streptophyta; Magnoliopsida; Solanales; Solanaceae
Rfam family: Bacterial small subunit ribosomal RNA
Source: Rfam
GUUGUCCUAUCGGCCAUAAUGAGAUGCCAACUGAUGAAUUAGACUCCUCCUUAACUUAGCUACCUUCAUUUGUUAGAUCGUCUUCAAAUAGUUGUAGGGAGGGGCUCACGUCUGAUUAGCUAAUAGCCUAUGUACCGAGGUGGUGAUCAGAAGCUGGUCUGAGAGGAUGAUCAGCCACACCGGAACUGAGACACAGUCUAGACUCCUACGGGAGGCA